RNAcentral lists this ribosomal RNA (190 nucleotides) under Echinocardium mediterraneum. RNAcentral's name for it is "partial 28S large subunit ribosomal RNA". The record is from RNAcentral. Lineage: Eukaryota; Metazoa; Echinodermata; Echinoidea; Spatangoida; Loveniidae.
GGCUGGGUCGGUCGGGCCGGGGCAGGAAGCCAGGCUGGAGCCGCAGCGUGGCUGGGCGAGCCUGCUUGCCAAUUCCUUGGCGAGUUGGGCGAGCCCGGACUGGCGCGGGGUCCGCCCGGUGGACCGUCCCGGCUGCGCGGUCGAGCAAUCGGCCGCUUCGGCCGACGCCCAACAGCUGACUCAGAACUGG